UGAAACCGUGUGCUUACAAGCCGUUAUAGCCCCUUUUGUGUGGGGUGGUGGCGUGCCUUUUGAAGAAUGAGCCUGCGAGUUAGUGUUUUGUCGCGAGGUUAACCCGUGUGGGGUAGUCGUAGCGAAAGCGAGUCUGAAUAGGGCGUUGUAGUGGCAGGAUCUAGACCCGAAGCGGAGUGAUCUAUCCAUGGCCAGGUUGAAGCACGUGUAAGAGCGUGUGGAGGACCGAACCCACCUAGGUUGAAAACUGGGGGGAUGAGCUGUGGAUAGGGGUGAAAGGCCAAUCAAACUCUGUGAUAGCUGGUUCUCCCCGAAAUGCAUUUAGGUGCAGCGUUACAUGUUUCUUGCUGGAGGUAGAGCUACUGGAUGGCCGAUGGGCCCGCGAGGGUUACUGACGUUAGCUAAACUCCGAAUGCCGGUAAGUGAGAGUGUAGCAGUGAGACAGUGGGGGAUAAGCUUCAUUGUCGAGAGGGAAACAGCCCAGACCAUCAACUAAGGCCCCUAAGCGUGUGCUAAGUGGGAAAGGAUGUGGAGUUGCUGAGACAACCAGGAGGUUGGCUUAGAAGCAGCCAUCCUUGAAAGAGUGCGUAAUAGCUCACUGGUCAAGUGAUUCUGCGCCGAUAAUGUAGCGGGGCUCAAGUACACCGCCGAAGUUGUGGCAAUCAGUCUUUGUGGCUGGUUGGGUAGGGGAGCGUCCUGCACGAGGUGAAGCUGCCACGGGAGUGUGUGGUGGAUUGUGUGGGAGUGAGAAUGCAGGCAUGAGUAGCGAAUCACGGGUGAGAAACCCGUGCGCCGGAUGAUCAAGGGUUCCAGGGUCAAGUUAAUCUGCCCUGGGUUAGUCGGGGCCUAAGGCGAGGCCGACAGGCGUAGUCGAUGGAUAACGGGUUGAUAUUCCCGUACCAGUGAAGGACCGUCCAUACUGAUAUUGUGAUGCUAACCAUGCCGAUCACGGUGUCAUGAAGUUUUUCUUUGUGGUGUUGUGGGGUGUGUGGGACCCAAGCUUUGGAGGUAAGCGUGUUAACAGGUGUGACGCAGGAAGGUAGCCAAGCCACGCGGUGGUUGUCGUGGUCUAAGCGUGUAGGAUGACUGGUUGUUAAAUGCGCCGGUUGUGUGUCUGAGACGUGAUGGGACCCCUUGUUUGUGGGGGAUUUGGUGAUCCUAUGCUGCCGAGAAAAGCAUCGGCGUGAGGUUUUAGCUGCCCGUACCCGAAACCGACACAGGUGAUCAGGUAGAGAAUACUAAGGCGAUCGAGAGAAUCAUGGUUAAGGAACUCGGCAAAAUGCCCCCGUAACUUCGGGAGAAGGGGGGCCCUGAGCGUGAUCUGCCCGUGCGGUGGGGAGCGUGUAGGGGUCGCAGAGACCAGGGGGAAGCGACUGUUUAUCAAAAACACAGGUCCGUGCGAAGUCGUAAGACGAGGUAUACGGACUGACUCCUGCCCGGUGCUGGAAGGUUAAGAGGAUUGGUUAGCCCUGUGUGGGCGAAGCUGAGAAUUUAAGCCCCAGUAAACGGCGGUGGUAACUAUAACCAUCCUAAGGUAGCGAAAUUCCUUGUCGGGUAAGUUCCGACCUGCACGAAUGGAGUAACGACUUCCCUACUGUCUCAACCAUGAACUCGGUGAAAUUGCAGUACGAGUAAAGAUGCUCGUUUCGCGCAGCAGGACGGAAAGACCCCGUGACCUUUACUAUAGUUUGGUAUUGGUGUUUGGGUUGGCUUGUGUAGGAUAGGUGGGAGACUGUGAAGCCGUCACGCUAGUGGUGGUGGAGUCGUUGUUGAAAUACCACUCUGGUCAAUCUGGAUGUCUAACUUCGGGCCAUGAUCUGGUUCAGGGACAGUGCCUGAUGGGUAGUUUAACUGGGGCGGUUGCCUCCUAAAGUGUAACGGAGGCGCCCAAAGGUUCCCUCAGCCUGGUUGGCAAUCAGGUGUUGAGUGUAAGUGCACAAGGGAGCUUGACUGUGAGAGUGGCGACUCGAGCAGGGACGAAAGUCGGGACUAGUGAUCCGGCAGUGGCUUGUGGAAGCGCUGUCGCUCAACGGAUAAAAGGUACCUCGGGGAUAACAGGCUGAUCUUGCCCAAGAGUCCAUAUCGACGGCAUGGUUUGGCACCUCGAUGUCGGCUCGUCGC
This 2121-nucleotide ribosomal RNA is filed under the name human metagenome. RNAcentral's name for it is "bacterial LSU rRNA". It matches the Rfam family "Bacterial large subunit ribosomal RNA", at positions 551 to 2543 of the family's 2925-position model. The record is from RNAcentral.